CCCCUACGGGAGGCAGCAGUGGGGAAUAUUGCACAAUGGGCGCAAGCCUGAUGCAGCGACGCCGCGUGGGGAUGACGGCCUUCGGGUUGUAAACUCCUUUCGUUAGGGACGAAGCCACACUUUUUUGGGUGUGGUGACGGUACCUGAAGAAUAAGCACCGGCUAACUACGUGCCAGCAGCCGCGGUAAUGGGG
This 193-nucleotide ribosomal RNA is filed under the name uncultured bacterium. RNAcentral describes it as "partial 16S ribosomal RNA". It matches the Rfam family "Bacterial small subunit ribosomal RNA", at positions 336 to 528 of the family's 1533-position model. The record is from RNAcentral.